This 27-nucleotide non-coding RNA is filed under the name Cricetulus griseus (Chinese hamster). The record is from RNAcentral. Lineage: Eukaryota; Metazoa; Chordata; Mammalia; Rodentia; Cricetidae.
AGCUUGUCGAGAUAAGGCUUAGAGUUA